Long non-coding RNA from Cyprinus carpio (common carp), 1640 nucleotides. The record is from Ensembl. Lineage: Eukaryota; Metazoa; Chordata; Actinopteri; Cypriniformes; Cyprinidae.
AGUGUGAUGACGAACCUAUGUUCAAGCUUGAGCGGGGAGUUCUUUGGCGUGAGUGAGCAGGAGUCUGCUGCUGUCCUUGAUUGGUGCUGAGAGGAUCACUGAGGCCAAAACCUACACCAAGGCAAUCAUUAAAAAGUCUGUAGUGGGAAUGGAUGAUCAAGUGAUGGUGUAUAUAGGAGUUAAGUUGGUUGCACAGUACUUCUGUAAUGCAGGGAACUGUACGAAUUACCCCAACACUGAGGGCCAGCUGAUAGAGCAAUCGGAGUAUUUGGUUCUGAUCAUGUGGAACAUCAAUCCAUUGGAUCGGUUUAAUGCAUUACACAAUGCAAAUCUGAUUUUACAGAACUUCACUCUUGAUGAAGUUCCCCUGACCUCCACAACACCUUCUCUGGAUGAACCAAACAGCCAAAGAGAUUCUCAGACAGGGCCACACUUUCGCUACUGUAAGGCACUUGCAGUAGCUUCAGGAGUUCUAGCUCUGGCAGUUCUUGUUCUAAUUGUGACCGUAUGUUGUGAAAGAGCUGGUCAAGAUGGAAGAUGGAAGGUCAUCGCAUUUUUCAGGAAGAGAUCUUAUGACUCAAAGCCAAACCAGCAUGACACAAAUUCCACAGAAAUGCAGUCCCUGGCAGCUCCAGUGUAGGUGUACAUAGGUCACUGGGCCCAGAAUGAUGCCCUUCCCUCCAUGGAAUCAGUGCAGUGGGCCCAAAUCUGCAUGGAGUGAAGAACAACACUGGUGUUUGGUCCUACAAUCAUGUGCAAUAGUUUACAAGUUUGACAUGACUGAUAUAUCAGGAUUAUUGUACUAUAACUUAUAGAUUACAUAUUUCUAUUUAUUUUAUUUAUGUACAAUUUAAAAUUAGCUUUAAAAGUAAAAUGGGGGGUUUUGUCUACCCUCAUUGUUUCUAAUGAAGGAUGCAAGUUUCAGUAUGCUAUGUGUACAAGUUCUGUCCUCCAUUUUGGAGCCAGUAUUUGUUAUUACUCUUAGGCCCUGAUUUGCUAAGACCUCAACUAAAGGUUAAUAAUUGGCUUGCACAAUUUAACUAAUCAGUCUAAUUGCAUGUACCAUUGUGGUCAUAUAUCGGUUGACUUUCAUCAGGGUUUUUUUUUUUUUCAUAAACAUGAAAUGUGUAAUCCUCAAUAGACUAUUUUAGUAGAUCAGUGCACACUUUUUUUGUGGCUGCUAGUUUGCUUAUGUUUUUAUAUCUGCAAACUAAGGCUGUGUGAUUAAUCGAAAUCGUCAUAGAAUCAUGAUUUGAGCUUGCAUGAUUUCUAAAUCGCUUUAUAGCAUGAUUUUCCACGGCCCCGACCUACCGCAGUAUGCUGUCCAAUCAGAAUGCAGUGCGCCUAAAUGGAGCACGAGAACAGAACAGACUGGGCACAUGCCUACGUAACUCCAGGUUCACACACUGUCUGUGAUUCGUAUUUUUUCCGAGCCCAUGUUAACGGAUCAGAGCGUUCACACUGCACGUGGAAAAAGAUGUGAAAGAUGUGAACAGAAAAGGUUAGAAAUAGAAAGGUGCGAAAAUAAUUAAUAUCUAGCACAUGAGCAUAGAGAGAGUUGUGAGUGCACAGUUUGAGCGAGAGGAGAUGUUUUAAAUGCGCACACUCUUUCCGGGUGAGAGCAGCGUGUACCUGAGCAC